AGGCCAACCUUUACAUGUGGGCAACAGAAUCCUCAUCUGAUCAUCGCAUCCUAAAUGAAAUGUGACCUGACUUCGUAUGCGUUUUCAUGACUCGAUCAAAAGAGGGAAGUCGUCUUGCAUAAAUCAUGACUUUUCAAAAAAAAUACAUGAAAUCAAAUUGUUCAGCCCGGAGAACCCAACAGAAACUCAUGGAGGAAUCUGUAAAUGCUGAAGGUGUGUCAGCCCGUGAGCCAGGCAGACGGGAGCCAGG
This 250-nucleotide long non-coding RNA is filed under the name Ictidomys tridecemlineatus (thirteen-lined ground squirrel). RNAcentral describes it as "lncRNA (ENSSTOG00000031519.1)". The record is from RNAcentral. Lineage: Eukaryota; Metazoa; Chordata; Mammalia; Rodentia; Sciuridae.